CAGUAGCCGCGGUAAUACGUAGGUGGCAAGCGUUGUCCGGAAUUAUUGGGCGUAAAGCGCGCGCAGGUGGUUUAAUAAGUCUGAUGUGAAAGCCCACGGCUCAACCGUGGAGGGUCAUUGGAAACUGUUAAACUUGAGUGCAGGAGAGAAAAGUGGAACUCCUAGUGUAGCGGUGAAAUGCGUAGAGAUUAGGAGGAACACCAGUGGCGAAGGCGGCUUUUUGGCCUGUAACUGACACUGAGGCGCGAAAGCGUGGGGAGCAAACAGGAUUAGAUACCCCCGUAGUCCCUGUCUCUUAUAC
RNAcentral lists this ribosomal RNA (301 nucleotides) under uncultured bacterium. RNAcentral's name for it is "partial 16S ribosomal RNA". It matches the Rfam family "Bacterial small subunit ribosomal RNA", at positions 509 to 807 of the family's 1533-position model. The record is from RNAcentral.